AUUUUUCUCCACCAUUUUCUAUUACUCCAGGGAUUAAGACGGAAGGACACUGAUUUGGAGGCGACCUAUAAAAGAACAGUGAAACUGGGCAUCCUUGAAGUCAUGGAAGAAGACCUUUCACAGGCAGCAAAGCAGAUAUUUAUAAACAUCAUCAUCAUCAUCAAUCAGAGGGAACUGUAGUCAUGGAGGACCGAUCUGACUUUCCUGCUGUCAUGCUGCUCAACUGCCGUGGCUUGGAAGGAAUUCACAGAAGCUUAAUCGAAGGCAGCACCUUCAGUGGACUUAAAUAUCCCUUUCACAAGUGCAGAUUGCUGCAGGCUUCCUCAGUAAAAAAUUGCAAUUAUAUGUAAAUCAAUAUUUUUGUUGUUUUAAUGAUACUGAUGGCAAGUUGACAAUCUUGAUUAAUAUAAAAAAAAUCAAAAAAAUAUAUAAGUAAUACAAGCAGAGAUGCACCGAA
Molecule: long non-coding RNA, 457 nt
Organism: Ictalurus punctatus (channel catfish)
Lineage: Eukaryota; Metazoa; Chordata; Actinopteri; Siluriformes; Ictaluridae
Exons: 4
Source: RefSeq, a predicted model, not a curated record